AGAGUUUGRUCUGGCUCCGGACGAACGCUGGCGGCGUGCUUAACACAUGARWGUCGAGCGGAAAGGCCCUUCGGGGUACUCGAGCGGCGAACGGGUGAGUAACACGUGAGCAACCUGCCCCUGGCUCUGGGAUAGCCUCCGGAAACGGGGAUUAAUACCGGACAUUCACUUCCUUCCGCAUGGUUGGUGGUGGAAAGUUUUUUCGGCCAGGGAGGGGCUCGCGGCCUAUCAGCUUGUUGGCGGGGUAACGGCCCACCAAGGCGACGACGGGUAGCCGGCCUGAGAGGGCGACCGGCCACACUGGGACUGAGACACGGCCCAGACUCCUACGGGAGGCAGCAGUGGGGAAUAUUGCGCAAUGGGCGAAAGCCUGACGCAGCGACGCCGCGUGGGGGAUGAAGGCCUUCGGGUUGUAAACCCCUUUCACCAGGAGCGAAAUCAGACGGUACCUGGGGAAGAAGCGCCGGCUAACUACGUGCCAGCAGCCGCGGUAAUACGUAGGGCGCAAGCGUUGUCCGGAUUUAUUGGGCGUAAAGAGCUCGUAGGCGGCCUGUCGCGUCCGCUGUGAAAUCCUGGGGCUUAACCCCGGGCGUGCAGUGGAUACGGGCUGGCUAGAGGCAGGCAGGGGAGAACGGAAUUCCCGGUGUAGCGGUGAAAUGCGCAGAUAUCGGGAGGAACACCGGUGGCGAAGGCGGUUCUCUGGGCCUGUUCUGACGCUGAGGAGCGAAAGCGUGGGGAGCGAACAGGAUUAGAUACCCUGGUAGUCCACGCCGUAAACGUUGGGCGCUAGGUGUGGGCCCCUUCCACGGGGUCUGUGCCGCAGCUAACGCAUUAAGCGCCCCGCCUGGGGAGUWCGGCCGCMAGGCUWAAACUCAAAGGAAUGGA
RNAcentral lists this ribosomal RNA (885 nucleotides) under uncultured bacterium. RNAcentral describes it as "bacterial SSU rRNA". It matches the Rfam family "Bacterial small subunit ribosomal RNA", at positions 8 to 913 of the family's 1533-position model. The record is from RNAcentral.